Molecule: small RNA, 80 nt
Filed under: Flavobacterium degerlachei
Lineage: Bacteria; Pseudomonadati; Bacteroidota; Flavobacteriia; Flavobacteriales; Flavobacteriaceae
Description: Flavo-1 RNA
Rfam family: Flavo-1 RNA
Source: RNAcentral
CUUUAGCCCCGAUUGAAAUGGAAAUCCUUUUAAUUUUUUCUUUAAAAAUUAAAAGAUUGUAAUAGAAAGCGGGAAAAAGC